AACCCCCCAAAUUCCUUAAGGAUUCUCUCCACAGGUCCCCAAAUCCCUCAGGAAUUCUCCCCAAGCAGGAAAAUUCCCCCAAAUUCCUGAAGGAUUCUCUCCAAACACCAAAAGUCCCCCAAAUUCCUGAAGGAUUCUCUCUGAACACCAAAAAUCCCCCAAAUCCCUCAGGAAUUCUCCCCAAGCAGGAAAACUCCCCCAAAUUCUUGAAGGAUUCUCUCCAAACACCAAAAUUCCCCCAAAUUCCUGAAGGAUUCUCUCCACAAGUCCCCGAAUCCUUCAGGAAUUCUCCCCAAACACCAAAAAUUCACCAAAUCCUUCAGGAACUCCCCCAUCCUGGGGCAGGAACCCCCGGAGCAGCACCAGGACCCUCCAAAGCCACCAAAUGUCCCCGGGCCAGCGCUGCUGAGAGCUGGGGGUGAGAUCUGGGACAAACCCUGUGGGGCUCCUGUGGGAUCAGCACAAACCCUGUGGGGCCCCUGUGGAUCAGCACAAACCCUGUGGGGCCCCAGUGGAUCAGCACAAACCCUGUGGGUUCCUGUGGGAUCAGCAGCUCCCAGGUGAUCCAGCACAAACCCUGUGGGGCCCCGGUGGAUCAGCACAAACCCCGUGGGGCCCCUGUGGGAUCAGCAGCUCCCAGGGGAUCCAGCACAAACCCCGUGGGGCCCCUGUGGGAUCCAGCACAAACCCUGUGGGUUCCUGUGGGAUCAGCAGCUCCCAGGGGAUCCAGCACAAACCCCGUGGGGCCCCCGUGGGAUCNUGGCUCCCAGCCUUGCUCUGCUCCUGGAUCCAGAGAAACAAUUCCCAGCUCUGUCCCUGCAGCAUUCCCAGGAAUCCGGGGCCAGGAAUUCCCGCUCCAGGAACGGUUCCCAAACUUUUCUCCUCCUGGCUCCAGAGAAGAUUUCCCUGAGCUCAGCUCUGUCCCUGCAGCAUUCCCGGGAAUUCCCGCUCCAGGCUGGCGCAGGGAAUUCCAGGUGCUCAGCUCCAUCAGGGAACGGCUCCCAGCCUUGUUCUCCUCCCAGCUCCAGAUAAAGAAUUCCCAGCUUUCCCGGAAUUCCAGCCCCACGUACCCAGCUCCCUCAGGGAACGGCUCCCGGCCUUUUCUCCCCCAGAUAAGCAAUUCCCAGCUCUCUGUCCCUGCAGCAUUCCCGGGAUUCCCGGUGCCCCAGCAGGGAACGGUUCCCAGGCUUUCCCCUCCUGGCUGGGGUUGGCUCUGCAGUUCCCAGGAUGACAAAUUCCAAUGGGAAUUCCAGAGGCUGUGCUGGCUCCUGGCAGGAAGGGGCUGGUGAGUCACAGAGCAACCUGGAGCUGACUCUGGCAUGGAUUUGAUUUUAUUUUAUUUUAUUUUAUUCUAUUCUAUUCUAUUCUAUUCUAUUCUAUUCUAUUCUAUUCUAUUCUAUUCUAUUCUAUUUUUCUAUUUUAUUCUAUUCUGAUGCUUUAUUUUAUUUUAUUCUAUUUUAUUUUUCUAUUUUAUUCUAUUUUAAUAUUUUAUUUUAUUUUAUUUUAUUUUUAAAUUUAUUUUUAAAUUUUCUUUU
This 1535-nucleotide long non-coding RNA is filed under the name Zonotrichia albicollis (white-throated sparrow). RNAcentral's name for it is "lncRNA (ENSZALG00000017913.1)". The record is from RNAcentral. Lineage: Eukaryota; Metazoa; Chordata; Aves; Passeriformes; Passerellidae.